UACGUAGGGUGCAAGCGUUGUCCGGAAUUAUUGGGCGUAAAGAGCUCGUAGGCGGUUUGUCGCGUCUGCCGUGAAAGUCCGGGGCUCAACUCCGGAUCUGCGGUGGGUACGGGCAGACUAGAGUGCAGUAGGGGAGACUGGAAUUCCUGGUGUAGCGGUGAAAUGCGCAGAUAUCAGGAGGAACACCGAUGGCGAAGGCAGGUCUCUGGGCUGUAACUGACGCUGAGGAGCGAAAGCGUGGGGAGCAAACAGG
Molecule: ribosomal RNA, 253 nt
Filed under: uncultured bacterium
Lineage: Bacteria
Description: partial 16S ribosomal RNA
Rfam family: Bacterial small subunit ribosomal RNA
Source: RNAcentral